Ricinus communis (castor bean) is the source of this 833-nucleotide long non-coding RNA. RefSeq lists it as uncharacterized. The record is from RefSeq and is a predicted model, not a curated record. The transcript has 2 exons. NCBI's taxonomy places the organism in Eukaryota, Viridiplantae, Streptophyta, Magnoliopsida, Malpighiales, Euphorbiaceae.
CUACUCAAGUUGAGGCUUGAUAAUAGAUUUACUAAAAAAAUAUAAAUGAGCCAAAGCUGAGAAAGAUAUGGGUAACCCAAGUAAUUAAAUAUGUUAAAGUAGCAGAAUAAAGAAUGAAGGUUGCUGGAGAAGUGAAGAAUGUUAGUUGUGCAACAGGAAGGAUUGCAACCUGACUGGUUUGACCGGUAGUAGAGCUCGGCAACUACUUUCGGAGGAUAAUCGAGAAACAUCCUGUGUUCAAGUAGUUGAAUUUCACGAUCAUCAUAUCAUUUUGGUCCUCAGAAUUUGAGGGUAUUAUCUGAGUUUCACAUGGCUUCCGUUCAAAUAUCUGAACCCUCUUAAUUUUAAGGGCAGAUGUUAAAGUUGAAAUCCAUCGAGCUGAAAAAGAAAAAUAAACAGCUGUAAACAAGUAGAGGAAAAGAAGAAUUCGUGGAGGAUAAUAUAUAUGUGCCCCACUUCAUGUCAUUGCAGAGAGCACGCAGUCGAGUUUUGGAAAUGAAUGAAACAUACAGAAAACAUCUCUGAUGCUACUUGAAAACGACAAACAAUGGACUGGUACUUGAAAACGACAAACAAUGGACUCGACAGUAGUAGACAUCAAAUAUAUCAGGUUGUUAUUGCUAUGCAGAUAUCAAUAUCAAACAAGUUUCUCCUUAGAGCAUUGAAAGUUUGUUGCGGCCGUCCACAGACAAAGCAUCUCCAUCAGUAGUCACUUCUAUGGACCCAGUAGGCAUGGACUAGGAUGCUAGUCCGUAUGUUGAGAUAACAUUUUUCAGAGUAUUAUUUCGUUUUGUGAGCAUGGUAAUAAUCUUAUUUACAAAUUUAACAAGCUA